UCCGCUAUAGUGUAGGGGUUUAGCACGUCGCUCUCUCACGGCGAAGACCCGGAUUCGAAUUCCGGUAGCGGAA
This is a transfer RNA of Hanseniaspora valbyensis NRRL Y-1626, 73 nucleotides long. It matches the Rfam family "tRNA". Rfam says of the family: Transfer RNA (tRNA) molecules are approximately 80 nucleotides in length. The record is from Rfam. NCBI's taxonomy places the organism in Eukaryota, Fungi, Ascomycota, Saccharomycetes, Saccharomycodales, Saccharomycodaceae.